AGCGAACGCUGGCGGCAGGCCUAACACAUGCAAGUCGAACGAAGUCUUCGGACUUAGUGGCGGACGGGUGAGUAACACGUGGGAACGUACCUUUUGGUUCGGAAUAACUGAGGGAAACUUCAGCUAAUAACGGAUAAGCUAUUCGGCGGAAAGAUUUAUCGCCAUUAGAGCGGCCCGCGUAGGAUUAGGUAGUUGGUGUGGUAAAGGCGCACCAAGCCUACGAUCCAUAGCUGGUCUGAGAGGAUGAUCAGCCACACUGGGACUGAGACACGGCCCAGACUCCUACGGGAGGCAGCAGUGGGGAAUCUUGCGCAAUGGUCGAAAGACUGACGCAGCCAUGCCGCGUGAAUGAUGAAGGUCUUAGGAUUGUAAAAUUCUUUUAGCAGGGACGAUAAUGACGGUACCUGCAGAAAAAGCCCCGGCUAACUUCGUGCCAGCCGCCGCCGUAA
Molecule: ribosomal RNA, 449 nt
Filed under: uncultured bacterium
Lineage: Bacteria
Description: partial 16S ribosomal RNA
Rfam family: Bacterial small subunit ribosomal RNA
Source: RNAcentral